RNAcentral lists this ribosomal RNA (521 nucleotides) under unidentified nematode Sourhope farm. RNAcentral describes it as "SSU rRNA". It matches the Rfam family "Eukaryotic small subunit ribosomal RNA", at positions 80 to 598 of the family's 1831-position model. Lineage: Eukaryota; Metazoa; Nematoda. The record is from RNAcentral.
CGUGAAACCGCGAAUGGCUCAUUAUAACAGCUAUAAUUUACUUGAUCUUGACACAAUCCUACUUGGAUAACUGUGGUAAUUCUAGAGCUAAUACAUGCAUUAAAGCUCUGACCUCACGGGAAGAGUGCAUUUAUUAGAACAAAACCAAGCGGCUUCGGCUGUUUCUGGUUGACUCAUAGUAACUGAGCUGAUCGCAUGGUCUUGCACCGGCGACGUGUCUUUCAAGUAUCUGCCGUAUCAACUUUCGAUGGUAGUGUAUCUGACUACCAUGGUGAUCACGCGUAACGGAGAAUAAGGGUUCGGCUCCGGAGAGUUCGCCUGAGAAAUCGCGAACACAUCUAAGGAAGGCAGCAGGCGCGAAAAUUACCCACUCUCAGCACGAGGAGGUAGUGACGAAAAAUAACGAGACCGUUCUCUUAUGAGGCCGGUCAUCGGAAUGGGUACAAUUUAAACCCUUUAACGAGUAUCUAUGAGAGGGCAAGUCUGGUGCCAGCAGCCGCGGUAAUUCCAGCUCUCAAAGU